CUUCUCCCUGGUUCAGAACUGCUUCCCUGCAAGAGCUGAAGGGUCCCUCACAGACAGCACCCUCUUAUCUAGCAUUGCAAGCUCCUGGGAGACUCAGCCUCACAAAUCUGUGUCAGCAUUGGGAAGGCACUGGGAACUUCAGAUGCUCCACGAAGAAAGCUCUCCUGGUCAAGGGGCAUGUGCUGAUGGGCCUUGGAACACUACUAGGAAUGAAUCCAGCCCCAGCACAGAGUGGCCAGGCUGGUCCUGGAGCUGGCAGCCUUAACCUUCCAAACACACUGCCCCUCCCUGCAUGACAAGUGUCCUACUUCCCAAUCCUCCCCUACUGCUGGGACUCACAGGCUCUCCUGGAGUCAGAGUCCUACCACUCAUGAAUUUGGGGGGCCCUUCCUCACAGAUUUCCAUGUCCUUCUACAAGCCUGUCCCAUUCCUCAGGAACUACUCUGUGUCCUCCCACAUCAGGGCUCUGCUUUCUGACUCCAGCAGGUUCUGAUCAGCUCCUCCAUGGAAAGAGGUGGUUUUCAGACUUCAGCCCAUGUUGAAAUCCUCAGGAGGGCUGUGCAUAAACUGCUGGUCUCAUCAGUGGGCUGGAGACCUGAUAAUCCGCAUAUCUAAGCAGGUUAUCAUUCAGUGCUGCUGCUAUUGGUGCAGGGAGUCCACUGAGAGCCAUCCAAGCACUUUAUAAGGUGCCUUGUUGGGUACAGAUGGACAAUGCUCAGCUGGGGGAACUCUGGCCUGUGCACCUGGUUCGGGCAGGAAGCGGGAUUUGCACCGAUUAGGGAUGUACCCGCUGCCGAUCUAAGGCAGGAUCUGUCACUGGUGUUCCUUUUGUUUCUCUCAGUCUCAGUAUACAAUCACUGGUCUAUUAACUCAUGAUCCUCCUGCUUCAGCCUCUCAAGUUCAAGUUCUGGAAUCACAGAUGCAAUGGCACCCCUCCCGUUGUGAUAACCAAAAGAAUGACUCUAGACAUUGCCAGAUGUCUUCUGGGGAAGAAAAAAAAAUCGCACCUGGGUAAGAAAUACUGAUCCAGAGUUCAUCAGUUACAACUGGGAAGAAGUCUCAUUUUAACAACAACAAAAAAUCUAUCAUCCAUGAUACAGAACUAGCAGAUUCAUGCAUAACAUGUUUCAAAGUUCAAGAAGCGCACGUCUCCACUCAGUGCACCUACUUGCUCACCCAGUAUGUGAAAGCAAAUCACAAGCCACUCCCCACCCUUCACAUAAACAAAAUUAAAAUAACCCAAUAAUCUGCUAGCAAACAGUAGUGCUGCCUGAACAUCGGCUAUGCCCAUAGCUCCUUAGUCCAUUGGAUCUGGGAUCAAGUCAGGAGAAGAAUAAUUAACCAAACAGAGCAGUGCUAGCAGUGGCUUUCUGCAGAGCCAUUCUCAUUUGUGACACAAGACAUAUUGUACUCAGAUGGCUGCAGGCAAGGGCUGCCUAGCUCAUAUGGGAUGACAUCUUUGCUUGUCAUGUGUGGGAGACAGAAUGGCCCCCAAAGACGUCCACAUCAUAACUGUCAGAACCCAUGAGUGUGAAACGGCAAAUGGAACUCGGCAGGUGUGACAAGCAUUCUGAGAUGGGGAGGUUUCCUGAAUUAUCCAGAUGGGCCCGAUGUAAUCCCCAGGGCCAGAAGAGGAAGGUAGGAAGAUCAGAAUUGGAGAAGAUGAGAAGACAGAAGCAGAGACUGGAGUGAUGGGGGCCAUGAACCAUGAAAUGAAGGUAGCUUCCGGAAGCCAGGAGAUAGAAAAUGAGAUUAUACCCAAGGCCCUCUAGAGGGAGGUAGCUCUGGAUUUCAGCAGCGAAGCCCCUCCUCUAUACUUAGGGCAGUAAUAGUGCCACAUGAAACCUGAGUGCUGAGGAGCUGCAGGGAUCUGACUUCUUGUGAUAGACUCAUCCAGGAAGAAAGCCGAGUAAGAGCACUCACACUAGCGCUGGCAGAAUUAAAUGAAGCCACAUGAUGUAAGCUGCUUGGCCUCGGUCUCCUCGCUACUCACCUUCUUGCUGUGUCUGUGGCAGAGCUGAGGGGCACUGGGGGACAGGCUGUGCCAUGCGGAGGACAUCAUCGGCCUCCCACUGGGCACCAUGUUGACCUCAGUCAUCAGAAUUAGCACAUUAGGGUUGUAUAAUAUGAGGAAGCUUCAAGAGCCCACGAUUGUUCUCUGACAGGCCAACAGGCCUCUGGGUAUUCGUCUUUAAUCUGAUUAGCUGACAAAAACUUUCCCAAUUCCAUGGCUGUCUCUUCACUGCUGUCUACUACACAUUUCUACACACACACACGGUCCAUCCUACAAAAGCACCCAUGGGAUCCAGUGCAGAGGGACUCUUAAAACCACUCUUCAAAAUAAAACAGACCUUCACCUAGUAGUACAUUCAGGUGAAUUUGUGGCAACAUUCAGAGAUCUGAACUGUACACACAAAUCUGUUGUCUGAUUGGCUUUGUUCUUUUCUGACCUGGAUUUCUCUUUAAAAUAUAGCCCAUCAGAAGAGUGAAAACUGGAAAUACCACUGUUAUAACAGCUUCAAAUGAAAGAAGUCAAAUGAAAUCCCAAAAACCAGUUACAUUAAAACUUGCUUCUUGUUA
Long non-coding RNA from Cavia porcellus (domestic guinea pig), 2580 nucleotides. RefSeq lists it as uncharacterized. Lineage: Eukaryota; Metazoa; Chordata; Mammalia; Rodentia; Caviidae. The record is from RefSeq and is a predicted model, not a curated record. The transcript is spliced from 5 exons.